Molecule: ribosomal RNA, 469 nt
Filed under: uncultured bacterium
Lineage: Bacteria
Description: partial 16S ribosomal RNA
Rfam family: Bacterial small subunit ribosomal RNA
Source: RNAcentral
GGACGAACGCUGGCGGCGUGCUUAACACAUGCAAGUCGAACGGAAAGGCCCUGCUUUUGUGGGGUGCUCGAGUGGCGAACGGGUGAGUAACACGUGAGUAACCUGCCCUUGACUUUGGGAUAACUUCAGGAAACUGGGGCUAAUACCGGAUAGGAGCUCCUGCUGCAUGGUGGGGGCUGGAAAGUUUCGGCGGUUGGGGAUGGACUCGCGGCUUAUCAGCUUGUUGGUGGGGUAGUGGCUUACCAAGGCUUUGACGGGUAGCCGGCCUGAGAGGGUGACCGGCCACAUUGGGACUGGGAUACGGCCCAGACGCCUACGGGAGGCAGCAGUGGGGAAUAUUGCACAAUGGGCGGAAGCCUGAUGCAGCAACGCCGCGUGCGGGAUGACGGCCUUCGGGUUGUAAACCGCUUUCGCCUGUGACGAAGCGUGAGUGACGGUAAUGGGUAAAGAAGCACCGGCUAACUACGUG